This 173-nucleotide transfer RNA is filed under the name Penicillium egyptiacum. Its description in RNAcentral is "tRNA-Thr". It matches the Rfam family "tRNA". Rfam says of the family: Transfer RNA (tRNA) molecules are approximately 80 nucleotides in length. Their secondary structure includes four short double-helical elements and three loops (D, anti-codon, and T loops). Further hydrogen bonds mediate the characteristic L-shaped molecular structure. tRNAs have two regions of fundamental functional importance: the anti-codon, which is responsible for specific mRNA codon recognition, and the 3' end, to which the tRNAs corresponding amino acid is attached (by aminoacyl-tRNA synthetases). tRNAs cope with the degeneracy of the genetic code in two manners: having more than one tRNA (with a specific anti-codon) for a particular amino acid; and 'wobble' base-pairing, i.e. permitting non-standard base-pairing at the 3rd anti-codon position. The record is from RNAcentral. Lineage: Eukaryota; Fungi; Ascomycota; Eurotiomycetes; Eurotiales; Aspergillaceae.
CUGGCAAGAUGGCCGAGUGGUUAAGGCGGCACGUGAGUACCCACGUCACCAUUUGACAUACCCAGGUAUAUUUACUAACAAUCAAUAGGUUUAGGUGUUAUAUACAUCAUACAUGUAUAUAUAACACGACCCGUGCUCCGCAAGGGCGUGGGUUCGAAUCCCACUCUUGUCAU